CCGAUCUUAGCUCAGCUGGAAGAGCGAAGGACUGUAAUUGUGCAGAGACAUCCGUAGGUCGCCUGUUCGAUCCAGGUAGAUCGGA
Molecule: transfer RNA, 85 nt
Filed under: Pleodorina starrii
Lineage: Eukaryota; Viridiplantae; Chlorophyta; Chlorophyceae; Chlamydomonadales; Volvocaceae
Rfam family: tRNA
About the family: Transfer RNA (tRNA) molecules are approximately 80 nucleotides in length. Their secondary structure includes four short double-helical elements and three loops (D, anti-codon, and T loops). Further hydrogen bonds mediate the characteristic L-shaped molecular structure. tRNAs have two regions of fundamental functional importance: the anti-codon, which is responsible for specific mRNA codon recognition, and the 3' end, to which the tRNAs corresponding amino acid is attached (by aminoacyl-tRNA synthetases). tRNAs cope with the degeneracy of the genetic code in two manners: having more than one tRNA (with a specific anti-codon) for a particular amino acid; and 'wobble' base-pairing, i.e. permitting non-standard base-pairing at the 3rd anti-codon position.
Source: Rfam by way of RNAcentral